CCUGGCGGCGACAGCGCGGUGGUCCCACCUGACCCCAUGCCGAACUCAGAAGUGAAACGCCGUAG
This 65-nucleotide ribosomal RNA is filed under the name Klebsiella oxytoca. The record is from RNAcentral. Lineage: Bacteria; Pseudomonadati; Pseudomonadota; Gammaproteobacteria; Enterobacterales; Enterobacteriaceae.